This 255-nucleotide ribosomal RNA is filed under the name uncultured bacterium. Its description in RNAcentral is "partial 16S ribosomal RNA". It matches the Rfam family "Bacterial small subunit ribosomal RNA", at positions 524 to 776 of the family's 1533-position model. The record is from RNAcentral.
UACGUAGGGUGCAAGCGUUGUCCGGAAUUACUGGGCGUAAAGAGCUCGUAGGCGGUCUGUCGCGUCGAAUGUGAAAGCCCAGGGCCUCGAACCCUGGGUCUGCAUUCGAUACGGGCAGACUAGAGUAUGGCAGGGGAGACUGGAAUUCCUGGUGUAGCGGUGAAAUGCGCAGAUAUCAGGAGGAACACCGGUGGCGAAGGCGGGUCUCUGGGCCAAAACUGACGCUGAGGAGCGAAAGCGUGGGGAGCGAACAGG